This 838-nucleotide ribosomal RNA is filed under the name uncultured bacterium. RNAcentral describes it as "bacterial SSU rRNA". It matches the Rfam family "Bacterial small subunit ribosomal RNA", at positions 10 to 804 of the family's 1533-position model. The record is from RNAcentral.
AGUUUGAUCCUGGCUCAGGAUGAACGCCGGCGGUGUGCCUAAUACAUGCAAGUCGUACGCACUGGCCCAACUGAUUGAUGGUGCUUGCACCUGAUUGACGAUGGAUCACCAGUGAGUGGCGGACGGGUGAGUAACACGUAGGUAACCUGCCCCGGAGCGGGGGAUAACAUUUGGAAACAGAUGCUAAUACCGCAUAACAACAAAAGCCACAUGGCUUUUGUUUGAAAGAUGGCUUUGGCUAUCACUCUGGGAUGGACCUGCGGUGCAUUAGCUAGUUGGUAAGGUAAUGGCUUACCAAGGCGAUGAUGCAUAGCCGAGUUGAGAGACUGAUCGGCCACAAUGGAACUGAGACACGGUCCAUACUCCUACGGGAGGCAGCAGUAGGGAAUCUUCCACAAUGGGCGCAAGCCUGAUGGAGCAACACCGCGUGAGUGAAGAAGGGUUUCGGCUCGUAAAGCUCUGUUGUUGGAGAAGAACGUGCGUGAGAGUAACUGUUCACGCAGUGACGGUAUCCAACCAGAAAGUCACGGCUAACUACGUGCCAGCAGCCGCGGUAAUACGUAGGUGGCAAGCGUUAUCCGGAUUUAUUGGGCGUAAAGCGAGCGCAGGCGGUUGCUUAGGUCUGAUGUGAAAGCCUUCGGCUUAACCGAAGAAGUGCAUCGGAAACCGGGCGACUUGAGUGCAGAAGAGGACAGUGGAACUCCAUGUGUAGCGGUGGAAUGCGUAGAUAUAUGGAAGAACACCAGUGGCGAAGGCGGCUGUCUGGUCUGCAACUGACGCUGAGGCUCGAAAGCAUGGGUAGCGAACAGGAUUAGAUACCCUGGUAGUCCAUGCCGUA